Pomacea canaliculata is the source of this 1497-nucleotide long non-coding RNA. RefSeq lists it as uncharacterized. The record is from RefSeq and is a predicted model, not a curated record. NCBI's taxonomy places the organism in Eukaryota, Metazoa, Mollusca, Gastropoda, Architaenioglossa, Ampullariidae. The transcript has 3 exons.
AACUAGGAUAAAUAUGUGACUGGUAAUGACAGCAUUUCGCUGGUUGUGUUACUUUUCUUUUCUUAGAAUAACUGUCGUUUGCCUAAUAAGGUAAAACAGAGCCCACAUCACAUAUCAACAUUUCCACCUCGGCCUUCACAGCCUCGUCUUCUAUUUUCGCUGCUGUCGUCGCCUCCUCUGCCGCCUCCGCAGGCUGCUGCUAUCUGUUCCGUGAUGCAUCAUCGGCAGCAGGUAGCUUGCCUGGAACAGUCUACUUUCGCUUUCACGCUUCCUCUCUUUCAUGAUCACUUGUUUCGCUUCAGACGAGACAGACGGCGAGCUUUUCAGUUCACAAUAGCGAAUCUCUCCAAACACAGCAAUCUGUUCGUCCUCCGUCUUUGAGUUUUCUUCUCAAUUUGCGAGCUCUUUUCAGGUUUCAUGGAGAAGAGGUGUUACGGUUUCUUCCAAUGCCCCAACUGCAAGCAGCGGUGGGAGAGUUCCUUUGUUUUCUGUAGAGACUCUGGCGGCACCCUGACUCCCCUGUACAAACAGGACUGCAAGAAAUGCGGCAUUGGUUGUCUCCCUGACAAAGUGGAGCCCAUCCGUUGCUCGCUCUGCGGAGAAACUGACUGUAGCUGCAAGAGGCGACGCACUGACCCCAACAAACCCCAUCGCAGCGACCUCUGCCACAGGUGUCGCUCUGGUCGUCCCUGUCAGCAUCAGCAGCAAUGACUGCCAACUACAUCCCCGGCUUAUCUCCCUUGAUAGUGUUGUGGUUAUCAAAUACUAGCUUGUCACCAGGAAACUUGUAAGAUUCAUCUCCGGACACUCUCAGUAUGUCACACCAGGUACUUCGAUCCCUCUCUCUCUCACCAGUAUGGUGAACUUAAGCACUUCCUGCUACACCAACGAACCCACCCACUGUUUCCUUCUUGCUGGUCACAGUACAUGCUUGUAUCUACACAAUGCUGCUGCUAAUACUUAAAACUAUUUUCUGCCUGUACAAAGUGCUCAGAUUAUUCAGACACCAUAGGCUAAUCUUUGUGUCUUCCUAGAAUAACAGUUAUUACAUCAGGCUUUAUCUGGUGAGCUACGAACUUGAAAUGACUUUUGUCACCCUGCACACCAUCCUAUCUACUUUACAAGACUCUCCCACUGAUUUAUGUCAGUUUUAUAGGCUCUGUCGCAGUUACAGAGAUAGAGAGAUAAAAAAUUGCACUUUUCAAACAGCAAAACAGUAUCAGAUAUGUACACCAUAACAUAUACAUAUGUAGAUAUGUACGCAUUGUACAGCUGCUUGUGUACAGGUGGAUAUAUAGAAAUGAAAUUUGACAAAGUCAGUUUUUGCGAGUUUGUAUUUGGCUAGAGUGCGAGGUCUUGGGCCUAAGGUGACUGGUUCUUAAUUAAAUGUAACGAAUUUAACCAUCUUUUCUGGCUGUGAACCUGUGUUAUUUCCAUUGUUUGUGUCAUAAUUGUGACACGUGACUUUUGACUAUAAUAAAGACAAUAUAAGCACAA